CAGUCGCCGCGGUAAUACGGAGGGUGCAAGCGUUAAUCGGAAUUACUGGGCGUAAAGCGCACGCAGGCGGUUUGUUAAGUCAGAUGUGAAAUCCCCGGGCUCAACCUGGGAACUGCAUUUGAAACUGGCAAGCUAGAGUCUCGUAGAGGGGGGUAGAAUUCCAGGUGUAGCGGUGAAAUGCGUAGAGAUCUGGAGGAAUACCGGUGGCGAAGGCGGCCCCCUGGACGAAGACUGACGCUCAGGUGCGAAAGCGUGGGGAGCAAACAGGAUUAGAGACCCCUGUAGUCCCUGUCUCUUAUAC
RNAcentral lists this ribosomal RNA (301 nucleotides) under uncultured bacterium. RNAcentral's name for it is "partial 16S ribosomal RNA". It matches the Rfam family "Bacterial small subunit ribosomal RNA", at positions 509 to 807 of the family's 1533-position model. The record is from RNAcentral.